AAUUGGAGUGAUGAAACUUUAACCUUAGGUGGAUGUAACAGACCGUUCUGGUCAUUUAACUGCAUCUGCCAGUGCUGGGGUUUGUCAUAGUUACACUGACCACAU
This 105-nucleotide small nucleolar RNA is filed under the name Acanthisitta chloris (rifleman). Its description in RNAcentral is "Small nucleolar RNA SNORD46". It matches the Rfam family "Small nucleolar RNA SNORD46". Rfam says of the family: U40 is a C/D box small nucleolar RNA, also known as snoZ153 in plants. The human sequence has also been annotated in the sequence databases as U46. Lineage: Eukaryota; Metazoa; Chordata; Aves; Passeriformes; Acanthisittidae. The record is from Rfam by way of RNAcentral.